AAUGACCUGGGAUGUUCGAUUCCCUACUAUUUUGAACCUACAAACACAAUAAGGGAUUCCUAUAUUCCUGCUUGGAUGUCAGGCCGCCAUUAUGCAGCGGAAGACAGAAAAUCAGGUGCGGUUACCCACCUAGCUCAUGCUAGGAUUCAAAAUCGUAGGCCCGGCAUUUUGGGAAAUUU
Molecule: non-coding RNA, 179 nt
Filed under: Anaerocolumna aminovalerica
Lineage: Bacteria; Bacillati; Bacillota; Clostridia; Lachnospirales; Lachnospiraceae
Description: Clostridium aminovalericum 6S / SsrS RNA
Rfam family: 6S / SsrS RNA
About the family: E. coli 6S RNA was the first non coding RNA to be sequenced, but its function was unknown until recently. It consists of 184 nucleotides that fold into an extended hairpin structure with a large single-stranded internal bulge.
Source: Rfam by way of RNAcentral